CCAAUCUCACCCUGUCUCUCCGCUUUCUUCUCCCUCUCUGUCUGGAGACGAAUAGACCAUUUUAAAGAAAACCAUUGUUUUGGCUAACCUGAAGAAUGUGGUGACCGCUUAUUGUUCGUAGUCCCAGUCACUUCGCGCUGAUCAUUUCUGAGAUUUCGAGAUGAAAUUGCCUGGAGAAACGGCCCUAUUCUUUGUCAGAUUUAUCAAGAUCGUAUGUGGUCAGAGGGAAGAAAUUUUCAGAUAAUUCGAAAUCUAUAAUAACUCUUCUUUUUCCGGGUUCUGAACAUGCAUUUGUCAGAUAUUGAAGUUGUCUUGAUCAUUCUAUGACACCAAAGAUGAGGAUAUUGACUCAGGUUUAGUUUGUCUAUUAUGUGUGGAUUUACAUUGAUAUGAUGCAGCAGUGCUAUAACAUAUUUUUGACAAGAUGUUUGACUUGGUAAGUUUAAUACUUUUGUUAUUUUAUUGAUUUAAUGUCUCACCUAGGAGUGAACCGAGUGAUAACAAUGAAUCCUUUUGAUAAUCCAUUUAUUGAGCAGAUGAUUUGGAACUAGCUAAAACAUUGAAACCAAAUGACUUGGCUUCAACAGUAUGUGUUAAUUCAAAUACUUGCAUUUUGCUAUUCAUUUCUAAUGUAUGGGUGGGAGAAAAUGCCA
Molecule: long non-coding RNA, 653 nt
Organism: Ipomoea triloba (trilobed morning glory)
Lineage: Eukaryota; Viridiplantae; Streptophyta; Magnoliopsida; Solanales; Convolvulaceae
Exons: 3
Source: RefSeq, a predicted model, not a curated record